UGCCCCUGUGGGCACCUCAGGUGGGAGAACGCCUCUGACUCAGUAGAUGGAGGCCACCGUGUAUCACAGCUCAGGGAUGCUGGCCUGGGGACCUCUGGGGACAAGGAGGAGGAGUCCGACCUCUGCAAAGCCAAAGCUGGCUUUGGUGCUCACCUCCCCCACCAGGAAGGCCUCCAAGGUCUGCAUUGACCACACUCGGAUCAAACUCUGAUGGCCCAGCUCACCCAGGACAGGAAUGACAGGACCUGCCCAGCCAGGAAGCCAGCCAAAUCACACCCCACAAGCUGCAUCUAACCCAAGAGGGAGCCCCCCAUGUCGUGUUUCCCAACACCACUGCUGAUGCCAAAUGUGUGGGGUUUCUCCCCCCACACCAAUGAACUCUCCAUCUCUCUAGAGGCCAACUGGGUGUCCUCCCAUCUGACUCAAUUCUGUCACUAACGACCUGAGUUAGCACAGAUCCCACGGUUUAAACACUUAGUCUGACCAAACUGCCCCCCUUUACAGAGCAGGUGCAAUCUUAGGCCUCCUGGUACUUUGGACUGACCAUCUACAGGUGCUGGAAGUUGCCAUGAUCCCCUUCUCAGAUUUCAUAAUUUGCCAGAUGGCUCCCAGAGCUCAGGGGAACUGAUCAGUAUCAGUAUGUGAUACAGAUUGUUGUAAAGGAUACAGAUGAACAGCCAGAGGAUCAAAAAAGAAAUAAA
Molecule: long non-coding RNA, 701 nt
Organism: Lontra canadensis (Northern American river otter)
Lineage: Eukaryota; Metazoa; Chordata; Mammalia; Carnivora; Mustelidae
Exons: 3
Source: RefSeq, a predicted model, not a curated record